RNAcentral lists this ribosomal RNA (468 nucleotides) under uncultured bacterium. Its description in RNAcentral is "partial 16S ribosomal RNA". It matches the Rfam family "Bacterial small subunit ribosomal RNA", at positions 28 to 507 of the family's 1533-position model. The record is from RNAcentral.
GACGAACGCUGGCGGCGUGCUUAACACAUGCAAGUCGAACGGAAAGGCCCUGCUUUUGUGGGGUGCUCGAGUGGCGAACGGGUGAGUAACACGUGAGUAACCUGCCCUUGACUUUGGGAUAACUUCAGGAAACUGGGGCUAAUACCGGAUAGGAGCUCCUGCUGCAUGGUGGGGGUUGGAAAGUUUCGGCGGUUGGGGAUGGACUCUCGGCUUAUCAGCUUGUUGGUGGGGUAGCGGCUUACCAAGGCUUUGACGGGUAGCCGGCCUGAGAGGGUGACCGGCCACAUUGGGACUGAGAUACGGCCCAGACUCCUACGGGAGGCAGCAGUGGGGAAUAUUGCACAAUGGGCGGAAGCCUGAUGCAGCAACGCCGCGUGCGGGAUGACGGCCUUCGGGUUGUAAACCGCUUUCGCCUGUGACGAAGCGUGAGUGACGGUAAUGGGUAAAGAAGCACCGGCUAACUACGUG